UGGGUUUAAAGCGUACAGCUGUGAGUUGUGUGGAAAGUCUUUUACCCUGGCUAUAAGCUUAAAAAGACACCAACUCACCCACUCUGGAAUUAAAGCGUACAGCUGUGACAUUUGUGGAAAAAAAUUCAGCCAGCCAGGCAGCCGAAAUAUUCACCUGCGGAUUCACACUGGAAAUGAUGUUUACUGCUGUGAUCAGUGUGGGAAACACUUUACAACAGCCACACAGUUACAAAGCCACAUGUUUACCCACACUGAAGAAAGAUCUUAUAAAUGUGACCUGUGUGAGAAGACUUUUAAGUCUCCACGUUACCUGGAAAAACACCAACACGUCCACACCAGAAAGUAACUCUACAAGUGCAGUUACUGUGAGAAGCAGAGCGACACAGAUGGAUCCAGUUCUCAACCCUGUCGUCACUGUGGUGGUGGGAAAGCGUUUCUUUGUGACCUUUGUGGAAAAACUUUCAGUCAUUAAGAGAGCCUAAUAAGACAUCAACGUAGACAUACUGGAGACAAAAUGAACUACUGCAAAGAAUGUGGGAGAGGUUUCACCACACCAAGUGCAUUUCAAAACAUGAACUAUGUCAUAGUGGGGUCAAAAAGCACAUCUGUGACCAGUGUGGGUCAUCCUUCCUUACUGCAGUGCAGAUAACAUUAAAGUGCAUAAACGCAUUCACACAGGAGAGACACCAUACAAGUGCAGACACUGUGACAUAAGCUUCUCGUGUUCAGGUAAUCGUAACGUUCAUGAAAGUACACACAUUGAAGGGAACUUCAGCUGUGACCAGUGUUACAAGAGCUUCAAGAAUCUCAGUUCAUACUCCAAACACAAACGAUCCCAUGUUUUAAAUAAACUGUUUCACUGUUACCAAUGUGCAAAAACAUUCACUUCAUUAUCUGCUCUGUGCAAACAUCAUCUGAACUCUACUAUUUUGGAGGGGGCAAACAGUGUACAGAUGAGUGUUAACAUGUGCUUGUCAGGCACUCUUUUUGGCUGUCGUGGUUUACACUUUACACUCUUUCAUCUUCCGUUUCUCGCCUGUACCAACCAUUGACUGUCAUCGUCAUUUUCCCCUCUCUCGUGCUCACACACAACAGGAGGGGCAGUCCCACACAUUCUCCCUGCAACACGGACUGCACAACCCACAAGGCUAAAUUCUUAAAGGUCUAUGCCUGUAACACUCUGCUUAUAUUGUCUUCAUAUUAAAUCUUUUUUUUAAUAAUAAUUAAAAAAAAAUUCUUCACGUCAAUAUGCGGGCCCCGAGUUUGAGAUCCGUUUUAAUCUUUGUUCCCUUAGAACAUAGUGAUUAGUAGUUGUACUUUUUACUGUAUUAUAAAAGUUAUAGGAAUGUGUUUUUACCAAACUAAUAUUGUAUCAAAACUGUCGAUAUAGAUAUACACAUCAGUGUCUUUCAUUUGACGUUUCCCAGUUUUCAAAAUGUACUUGUUUUUCAUGUAUUCAUUUUAUUUGUUACCUCAGUUACACGUUAAUCCUUUUUCAUAUUUAAUCUUCUACUGUGGUAAUCCUUGUUCUUAGAUCCCUUUCUCCCAGAACUCCAAAUAAUUUCACACCAGUUGCCCUUAAAGCUUCCAAUAUGAACUAAAUCCGUCAACUGUCUUUGAAACAACAACUGCUGUGACUUUAUGGCCAGAAAAAAGAAUCUCAAGCUAAACUGGUGUUGGGCUGUACUUCCAUGUAAUACCAGGUUGUACCAGAAGGUGGAGCAGUGCUCCAAGAGCAUUCUUAUUCACAAUGGCAGCAAAGAAAUGUUAAAAACAGCAGCAUACAUCAGGGUGGUUUUAAAGAUAGCAGAUGACUCCUUUUAGUUCAUUCAAAUUCUAUCAAACCUAUAUUUUUGGCUGCUCCUUUCACUUUAGUGUAUUUACAAUAUCCUUGAAGUCUAUGUGUUGUUUUUUAAUGAAUUCAUUUUGAUCCACAUGUUCUGCAGCUGUUUCCUUGUUGAUUUGAAGUUUGUAUUAUGAAAUCCUGAUACUGUUAAAUCAUUAGUUAUAUCUGAUGAACUGUGCAAAGUUUUUAGGGUGUG
Molecule: long non-coding RNA, 2042 nt
Organism: Oreochromis niloticus (Nile tilapia)
Lineage: Eukaryota; Metazoa; Chordata; Actinopteri; Cichliformes; Cichlidae
Exons: 2
Source: RefSeq, a predicted model, not a curated record